CCUACGGGAGGCUGCAGUGAGGAAUAUUGGUCAAUGGACGAGAGUCUGAACCAGCCAAGUAGCGUGAAGGAUGACUGCCCUAUGGGUUGUAAACUUCUUUUAUAUGGGAAUAAAAUGUUCCACGUGUGGGAUUUUGUAUGUACCAUAUGAAUAGGGAUCGGCUAACUCCGUGCCAGCAGCCGCGGUAAUACGGAGGAUCCGAGCGUUAUCCGGAUUUAUUGGGUUUAAAGGGAGCGUAGGUGGAUUGUUAAGUCAGUUGUGAAAGUUUGCGGCUCAACCGUAAAAUUGCAGUUGAAACUGGCAGUCUUGAGUACAGUAGAGGUGGGCGGAAUUCGUGGUGUAGCGGUGAAAUGCUUAGAUAUCACGAAGAACUCCGAUUGCGAAGGCAGUUCACUGGACUGCAACUGACACUGAGGCUCGAAAGUGUGGGUAUCAAACAGGAUUAGAUACCCUAGUAGUC
RNAcentral lists this ribosomal RNA (460 nucleotides) under uncultured bacterium. Its description in RNAcentral is "partial 16S ribosomal RNA". It matches the Rfam family "Bacterial small subunit ribosomal RNA", at positions 338 to 795 of the family's 1533-position model. The record is from RNAcentral.